UACGGGGGGAGCAAGCGUUGUUCGGAUUUACUGGGCGUAAAGGGCGCGUAGGCGGCGCGACAAGUCACUUGUGAAAUCUCCGGGCUUAACCCGGAGCGGCCAAGUGAUACUGUAGUGCUAGAGUGCGGAAGGGGCUACUGGAAUUCUCGGUGUAGCGGUGAAAUGCGUAGAUAUCGAGAGGAACACCUGCGGCGAAGGCGGGUAGCUGGGCUGACACUGACGCUGAGGCGCGAAAGCCAGGGGAGCGAACGGG
Molecule: ribosomal RNA, 253 nt
Filed under: uncultured bacterium
Lineage: Bacteria
Description: partial 16S ribosomal RNA
Rfam family: Bacterial small subunit ribosomal RNA
Source: RNAcentral